Agrilus planipennis (emerald ash borer) is the source of this 2101-nucleotide non-coding RNA. The record is from Rfam. NCBI's taxonomy places the organism in Eukaryota, Metazoa, Arthropoda, Insecta, Coleoptera, Buprestidae.
UCAAGAGAUUGCUAGUAGCCGCCUUGCCCUUACCUAAAUUAAUUUGGCCGAAAUUUAAAACGAAAUCCGCGUCGGGGUUAUUUUUAUGGUUUUUAGUUACCAUAAAAAUCUAUGUUUGAUAGAAUAGAGUUUUUAAUUCUAUUCAUCGUCGGGCAAGACUGGCUUUUGGCGUCAUGGUCUGUACUGACGGGCGCGUGUUUUUUGUCCUUGUUCGACUUGACACAAACUACACACGAGGUAGUUUUGGAUUUACAGUCUUUAAAACUGUGUUUACCGCCACAUUUUCCGCAGAUUUGCUGUUUGACCUUGCAAUUCUUAGAUAAGUGCCCAAAGUCGUAACAUUGGAAACACUGUAAUAAAGAAAAAUGGUCCCUAAUAAAAACGCGCUGCCAAUUUAAAUAAAUCGGCCUAUCUAGCAUUUUUUGUCGCAGUAUUGGGUUGAUCUCAAAAAUGGCGCUAUAACUGUUCUUACUAUUAUGAAUUUCGAACACCGCUAACUGUCUAAAAUCAUUCUUAAACUUAUUUACGUCAUUGCCGUAAAUACUAUCUAUGAAGUCAUUAUGCCCUAAUAUCGUUUCAUGUAAAUCGUUCGCGUUUAAUUCUUUGUUUACCCUGUCUAUCCUAACUCUUGGCCACCGUUUUUUAAUAUCUCUAACCGCAACAUCGUCUUUUGCUUUAAUUAGCAACGACUUUUUAAUUUUUUCCGCGUCCUCCUUCCUAGCACAGUCGACAACUAAUACGCCUGAUUUCGUGGCCCUAAAAUUUUUGACCGCGAUAUUAUUUUUUAUCGGAUCUACUGAGCGCAUAACCACUUUCCUAACAUACUCUACGUCUUUCCCUUCUUUUUUCGAUUCAAUUCUUACUGGAUAAGAAUGUUCAGUAACCCUAGUAUUAAUAUUUGUCACACUUUUCCCUGAUCUAAGUUUGUCUGCAUAGGAAAAACAAGGCGCACUUACCGCUUGUGGUGGUUGCUUUUCCAAAGCUUUCAACUCCUGUUCUUUUUUCUCUAAGUUGUGCCGCAGUUCUUUAAUCACGCCGGCCAUUUGGACGACGUUUUCCAUAAGGAGGUCCGCCGAUUCCCUAAUAAUUUUCCUAUCCGCAACUUUAAUUGUGUCGGCCUUCAUUGGGAUGAGGGACCGUACAAUUUUGUAAAAUUUCCUCGCGUUAGCCGACAUGCCGUCUUCCGGGAGGGUACCUAAAACAGGAGUUUGUUCUCCAUUGAUUGUUAGGCAUCGCACAACCGAACGGUUCGGAGGCUCCAUGCGAACUCCGAGCCGAAGACAGCAGGACGGUGGCCAUGGAAUUCGCCAAGGGGUGUGUAACAACUCACCUGCCGAAGUUACUAGCCCUGGAAAUGGUUGGCGCUGUAGCGUCGUGCUUAUACUCUUCCGUCAGUAGCAGGAGCGGCGCGGCCCUAGCGGUCGCGUCACGAAGCUCUGACGAGUAGGAGGUUCGCGGCGGUGAGCCCAGAGGAAUCGGGCGUGGGCCCGCCUGGAGCUGCCGUCGGCGCAAAUCUUGGUGGUAAUAGUAAAUACUCCCAGAGAGGCACUGAAGGACUGACGUGAAGAAGGGUUUCGUGUAAACAGCCGUUGCAAACGAGCCAGUCGAUCCUAAGCACUAGGCGAAAGCCGAUGUCGAUGUGGCGUGUUUAUUGAACCAUGAUGCUGUCCGUUCACGUCCGACAGGCGAAAGGGAAUCCGGUUCCUAUUACGUGAGAGUUUGUCGGGGUAACCCAAAAAGACCCGGAGACGCCGUCGGGAAAUCCCGGAAGAGUUUUCUUUUCUGCGUGAGCGUUCGAGUUUCAUGGAAUUCUCUAGUAGGGAGAUAUGGUUUGGAACGCGAAGAGCACCGCAGUUGCGGCGGUGUCCGGAUCUUCCCCUCGGACCUUUAAAAUCCGCCAAAUGGCCACGUGCGGGUGUUGCGCCUGAUCGUACCCACAUCCGCAGCCGGUCUCCAAGGAUAGAAGCCUCUAGUCGAUUCAAUAAUGUAAGUAAGGGAAGUCGACAAAUUGGACCUGUUAUUGGAGUUGCCAUUAACUGACCGGGUGUGCAGUGUUUGUCUCCACUCUGCAAGAGGCAACUUCAUGGCAUUCAGCUUGAGU